AUCAUCUUCUUCUUCGCCCGAGGACGUAGCACACCACCCUGGUGUGUGAACUUCGUUAAAUCUCUGCGUCGUACGGAUCUAUUGUCUCUUUAUUAUUCGUGUUUCUUGGUGUUUGAUCUAACACUCUUGCUGACAAUCUUGCCGGUGCAAGUUAGCCGAUUUCUUCCGAUGAUCUUGUUCUUUAUGUUCUUGGAGGAUUGGGUCCCGAAUAUAUGUCACUGGUUACGGCGAUCUCCACUCGCUAUGAUCCGAUUCAUCUUGAUGACCUAUAUGGUUAUCUGCACAGUAAGGAAUUACGAAUUACAGAAGCUAGUCUUCCCCAAAUUGAUAAUGCUUCAUUAUCUGCAAAUCUAUCUCAAGCUCGCUCAUCCAACAAAGAUCGAUCAAAUUCUGAUCAUUACAAUUCCUUUAGCAGAGGUGGCUUCUCUCAGAAUUCUAGUUCCCGAUCAAACCAAAAUUUUGGUUCUCAUGGUCGUGGUCGAGGCCGUGGUCGUUUUUUCAACAAAGGUGGAACAUAUCAGAGUCCUGGUUACCGAUCUCCUACUCAGUUCCAUUCGAAUGCUUCAGAGCAACCUUGGCUAACUUGUCAAAUCUAUGGGAAAGAAAACCAUUCUGCCACUACCUAUUGGUAUCGAUAUGACAACCAAGGCUCUGGUUCUCCCUCUCCACUGUAGGGUCUUCUUGUUCAACAUAACAAUCCCUUUUAUGCUGCAGAUCAAGGCUGGUGUCCGGACUCUGCUGAAUCACAUCACAUUACUUAUGAUCUAGCAAAUCCUGAGCUUCAAGGUGCUUACCAUGGUACCGAUUAGUUACAUGUUGGUAAUGGCGCAGUUCUUCAUCAAGGAUUCCAUCACAAAGAAGAUCCUUCUCCAAGGUCGAAUGCAUAAUGGGCUCUAUCAGCUUCUUCCUGCUUCCUUUUCUUCGCACAAAUCAGCUCACAUUGGGGAACGGUACCUUUGUCUGUCUGGCAUAGUUGCCUUGGACAUCCAGCACCGAACGUGAUUCGAAUUUCGAAGCAUUGUUUCUCAUCAUCGUCUUCCAUUUCACAGUCAGCCUCCAAUCAAUAGUGUUUGCUCUUCGUAUCAACUUGGCAAAUCUCACAAACUUCCAUUCAAAAGGUCCUCACACUACAGCAAACAAUCUCUUGAUCUUGUGUUUUCAGACAUUUGGGGGUCUGCUUCUGUAACAUUUAAUGGUUUUCGAUAUUUUGUACAUUUUUUAGAUGAUUACACCAAGUUCACAUGGAUUUUUCCCAUUA
This is a long non-coding RNA of Macadamia integrifolia, 1258 nucleotides long. RefSeq lists it as uncharacterized. The transcript has 2 exons. The record is from RefSeq and is a predicted model, not a curated record. NCBI's taxonomy places the organism in Eukaryota, Viridiplantae, Streptophyta, Magnoliopsida, Proteales, Proteaceae.